UACGGAGGAUGCAAGCGUUAUCCGGAAUGAUUGGGCGUAAAGCGUCCGCAGGUGGCGAUGUAAGUCUGCUGUUAAAGAGUCUAGCUCAACUAGAUAAGAGCAGUGGAAACUACAUAGCUAGAGUACGUUCGGGGCAGAGGGAAUUCCUGGUGUAGCGGUGAAAUGCGUAGAGAUCAGGAAGAACACCGGUGGCGAAGGCGCUCUGCUAGGCCGUAACUGACACUGAGGGACGAAAGCUAGGGGAGCGAAUGGG
Molecule: ribosomal RNA, 253 nt
Filed under: uncultured bacterium
Lineage: Bacteria
Description: partial 16S ribosomal RNA
Rfam family: Bacterial small subunit ribosomal RNA
Source: RNAcentral